GUAGCUCAGCGGUGUAGAGUGCAUGCCUUGCAAGCAUGAGGCCCUGGGUUCGAUUCCUCAGC
Molecule: transfer RNA, 62 nt
Filed under: Dipodomys ordii (Ord's kangaroo rat)
Lineage: Eukaryota; Metazoa; Chordata; Mammalia; Rodentia; Heteromyidae
Rfam family: tRNA
About the family: Transfer RNA (tRNA) molecules are approximately 80 nucleotides in length. Their secondary structure includes four short double-helical elements and three loops (D, anti-codon, and T loops). Further hydrogen bonds mediate the characteristic L-shaped molecular structure. tRNAs have two regions of fundamental functional importance: the anti-codon, which is responsible for specific mRNA codon recognition, and the 3' end, to which the tRNAs corresponding amino acid is attached (by aminoacyl-tRNA synthetases). tRNAs cope with the degeneracy of the genetic code in two manners: having more than one tRNA (with a specific anti-codon) for a particular amino acid; and 'wobble' base-pairing, i.e. permitting non-standard base-pairing at the 3rd anti-codon position.
Source: Rfam by way of RNAcentral